This 1353-nucleotide ribosomal RNA is filed under the name uncultured bacterium. RNAcentral describes it as "bacterial SSU rRNA". It matches the Rfam family "Bacterial small subunit ribosomal RNA", at positions 18 to 1393 of the family's 1533-position model. The record is from RNAcentral.
CCUGGCUCAGGACGAACGCUGGCGGCGCGCCUAACACAUGCAAGUCGAACGAGCGAGAGAGAGCUUGCUUUCUCGAGCGAGUGGCGAACGGGUGAGUAACGCGUGAGGAACCUGCCUCAAAGAGGGGGACAACAGUUGGAAACGACUGCUAAUACCGCAUAAGCCCACAGCUCGGCAUCGAGCAGAGGGAAAAGGAGCAAUCCGCUUUGAGAUGGCCUCGCGUCCGAUUAGCUAGUUGGUGAGGUAAUGGCCCACCAAGGCGACGAUCGGUAGCCGGACUGAGAGGUUGAACGGCCACAUUGGGACUGAGACACGGCCCAGACUCCUACGGGAGGCAGCAGUGGGGAAUAUUGCACAAUGGGGGAAACCCUGAUGCAGCGACGCCGCGUGGAGGAAGAAGGUCUUCGGAUUGUAAACUCCUGUUGUUGAGGAAGAUAAUGACGGUACUCAACAAGGAAGUGACGGCUAACUACGUGCCAGCAGCCGCGGUAAAACGUAGGUCACAAGCGUUGUCCGGAAUUACUGGGUGUAAAGGGAGCGCAGGCGGGAAGACAAGUUGGAAGUGAAAUCCAUGGGCUCAACCCAUGAACUGCUUUCAAAACUGUUUUUCUUGAGUAGUGCAGAGGUAGGCGGAAUUCCCGGUGUAGCGGUGGAAUGCGUAGAUAUCGGGAGGACACCAGUGGCGAAGGCGGCCUACUGGGCACCAACUGACGCUGAGGCUCGAAAGUGUGGGUAGCAAACAGGAUUAGAUACCCUGGUAGUCCACACUGUAAACGAUGAUUACUAGGUGUUGGAGGAUUGACCCCUUCAGUGCCGCAGUUAACACAAUAAGUAAUCCACCUGGGGAGUACGACCGCAAGGUUGAAACUCAAAGGAAUUGACGGGGGCCCGCACAAGCAGUGGAGUAUGUGGUUUAAUUCGACGCAACGCGAAGAACCUUACCAAGUCUUGACAUCCCUUGACGAUGCUGGAAACAGUAUUUCUCUUCGGAGCAAGGAGACAGGUGGUGCAUGGUUGUCGUCAGCUCGUGUCGUGAGAUGUUGGGUUAAGUCCCGCAACGAGCGCAACCCUUAUGGUCAGUUACUACGCAAGAGGACUCUGGCCAGACUGCCGUUGACAAAACGGAGGAAGGUGGGGAUGACGUCAAAUCAUCAUGCCCUUUAUGACUUGGGCUACACACGUACUACAAUGGCGUUAAACAAAGAGAAGCAAGACCGCGAGGUGGAGCAAAACUCAGAAACAACGUCCCAGUUCGGACUGCAGGCUGCAACUCGCCUGCACGAAGUCGGAAUUGCUAGUAAUCGCAGAUCAGCAUGCUGCGGUGAAUACGUUCCCGGGCCUUGCACACACCGC